CCCUUCUCAAGGUCGCACCUGGAGAGUUUCCAGUACUCUACCAGUCUUGGCUACCAGAAGGAGAGUCAAGCAGAGGCCUACCCAUUCCAUUCCAAGCUUGGGCAGUGGCUAGGGAGUGGAAGGUAAUCUGCUACAAGC
This is a small nucleolar RNA of Ornithorhynchus anatinus (platypus), 138 nucleotides long. Lineage: Eukaryota; Metazoa; Chordata; Mammalia; Monotremata; Ornithorhynchidae. The record is from RefSeq and is a predicted model, not a curated record.